Non-coding RNA from Pelobates cultripes (western spadefoot toad), 260 nucleotides. The record is from the annotation of a GenBank genome assembly. Lineage: Eukaryota; Metazoa; Chordata; Amphibia; Anura; Pelobatidae.
UGUAUAGAUCAAGCCGAUUCAGUCUUACUGCUCAGCUCUCUGUCAUUUAGGAGUUAGAUCACUGUUUUGCUGCCCUAGGCACACCUGCCUGCGUCUGACAAUCACAGCCUUCAUAAAUUCUGGGUGUAAAUAGUUCUAUAAUAUUUACACAUCCUGAUUUGCCGGGGGAGGGCUGUCUGGGCUGUCAGGCAGUCCUCCCGAAGAGGAUCGCUGUGAAGGUAAGUACCAUGGAGCUCCUGGGGUAGACAGCCAUUACGAAG